RNAcentral lists this ribosomal RNA (339 nucleotides) under Triticum aestivum (bread wheat). RNAcentral describes it as "partial small subunit ribosomal RNA". Lineage: Eukaryota; Viridiplantae; Streptophyta; Magnoliopsida; Poales; Poaceae. The record is from RNAcentral.
AUGAGUGCAAAAUGUGCAUUCACACCGACCAGAAAGAGCGAGAUGUAUGCAUACUCUGCAGCCCUACAAAGGUACCGUAAGCUAAGGAAUUUUAGUCACACUGCAUGUUUCAAGGCAUGCCACUCUGAUGAGGCAUUUCAGCAUCUAAAAGGGGUUUUGGAAGGACAAGAUGUUUACAAGGGAUCAACAAGUGAACAAGCUGACAGCAAGGGAUCAACUAAUGCUCAGGGUAACAGCAUUAGGUUUGGCCCGUUGAUGCCACAAUCGGCUAACCUUGAUGGUGAAGGUUUCGAAAAGGUUCUGGAUCCCGUGCAUGUCCCAGGCCGAGGUGCUCCGUAG